UACGAAGGGGGCUAGCGUUGCUCGGAAUCACUGGGCGUAAAGCGCACGUAGGCGGAUCUUUAAGUCAGGGGUGAAAUCCCAAGGCUCAACCUUGGAACUGCCUUUGAUACUGGGGAUCUCGAGUCCGGAAGAGGUUGGUGGAACUGCGAGUGUAGAGGUGAAAUUCGUAGAUAUUCGCAAGAACACCAGUGGCGAAGGCGGACAACUGAUCCGGUACUGACGCUGAGGUGCGAAAGCGUGGGGAGCAAACAGG
This 253-nucleotide ribosomal RNA is filed under the name uncultured bacterium. Its description in RNAcentral is "partial 16S ribosomal RNA". It matches the Rfam family "Bacterial small subunit ribosomal RNA", at positions 524 to 776 of the family's 1533-position model. The record is from RNAcentral.